AUGGAAACGGGUGGCUCUCCCUCACUGCGAGGCCCUGCAGCCUCCCCAAAACAAGGUCUCAAGGCCCAGAGAAAGCUUGGGGUGGAGGCUGGAGGAAGCCGGUGCAUCCCUGGUGCCGGGACACAUCUUGGCACAACUUGGCACAGCUUGGCACGGCUUGGCACGGCUUGGCACGGCUUGGCACGGCUUGGCACGGCUUGGCACGGCUUGGCACGGCUUGGCACGGCUUGGCACGGCUUGGCACGGCUUGGCACGGUUUGGCACAGCUUGGCACGGCUUGGCAUGGUUUGGCACGGCUUGGCAUGGCUUGUCACAGCUUGGCACAGUUUGGCAUGGCUUGGCACGGCUUGGCACGGCUUGUCACAGCUUGUCACAGCUUGUCACAGCUUGGCACGGCUUGGCACGGCUUGGCACGGUUUGACACGGCUUGUCACAGCUUGGCACAACUUGUCACAGCUUGGCACGGUUUGGCACGGUUUAGCACGGUUUGGCAUGGCUCGGCACGGCUUGGAACGGCUUGGCACGGCUUGUCACAGCUUGGCACGGCUUGGCACGGUUUGGCACGGUUUGGCAUGGCACGGCUCGGCACGGCUCUGCAGCCUGCAGUGGAGCCGUGGCCCCGCGAGGUGUCAGCACAAGGCUGCUGCGGAGGACGCAGCCUCCGCUGUCUGCAUAGGGAGGGCAGGGGGCAAGGGACAGGGGGCUCCCUGCCAUCCCCUACCCAGGCACUGGAGGGUCCUGUGUGGGGACAAGGGAUGUGUCCCUGCCCCAAUCCUUCCUGCUGUGCCUCCAUCCGGGGGUGGCCACCAAGGGGGAGGCCGGCCGAGGGGCUCGCAGGGGCGAUUUGGGGAGCGGGGACACCACAGCGGGAACGAAACCAAACUGGAGCCAUGGAGAGGCGAGCAGGGUGCUCAGCUCGAGGAGCCUCCAGAUCCAUAUUAUGCCUCUCUCAGCCUCACCUGGUGCCUGCGGCACGCUGUGACCCCACAAAACGCCCACCCCCUGCUCCAUCACACCCCGCAGACCCCCGCCCGUGCCCCCCAGCCCGGGCUCCGCGUGCAGCACCCGCGGCGAUGGCUGGGCAGCGCCGUGACCUGCCGAGGCCUCCCGCUCUGUAAAUAG
RNAcentral lists this long non-coding RNA (1122 nucleotides) under Anas zonorhyncha (Eastern spot-billed duck). RNAcentral describes it as "lncRNA (ENSAZOG00000004792.1)". The record is from RNAcentral. Lineage: Eukaryota; Metazoa; Chordata; Aves; Anseriformes; Anatidae.